RNAcentral lists this ribosomal RNA (301 nucleotides) under uncultured bacterium. RNAcentral describes it as "partial 16S ribosomal RNA". It matches the Rfam family "Bacterial small subunit ribosomal RNA", at positions 509 to 809 of the family's 1533-position model. The record is from RNAcentral.
CAGCCGCCACGGUAAUACGUAGGUGGCAAGCGUUGUCCGGAAUUAUUGAGCGUAAAGGGCUCGCAGGCGGUUUCUUAAGUCUGAUGUGAAAGCCCCCGGCUCAACCGGGGAGGGUCAUUGGAAACUGGGAAACUUGAGUGCAGAAGAGGAGAGUGGAAUUCCACGUGUAGCGGUGAAAUGCGUAGAGAUGUGGAGGAACACCAGUGGCGAAGGCGACUCUCUGGUCUGUAACUGACGCUGAGGAGCGAAAGCGUGGGGAGCGAACAGGAUUAGAUACCCGAGUAGUCCCUGUCUCUUAUAA